AGCGGAGUAGGGCAGUCAGGAGUGCCCGAUGGGCUCAUAACCCAUAGGUCAGUGGUUCAAAUCCACUCUCCGCUA
This 75-nucleotide transfer RNA is filed under the name Nanobdellota archaeon. Its description in RNAcentral is "tRNA-Met". It matches the Rfam family "tRNA". Rfam says of the family: Transfer RNA (tRNA) molecules are approximately 80 nucleotides in length. Their secondary structure includes four short double-helical elements and three loops (D, anti-codon, and T loops). RNAcentral also lists the same sequence under 1 other name. Lineage: Archaea; Nanobdellati; Nanobdellota. The record is from RNAcentral.